UUCUGGAUCUAUGCCUUAGAAAGAUUUCUUUGAGGAUUUAAUUUAAAAUCUGAUAUUCAAAGUCGACGGUCGUUGCCGAAACAAGCUAUAAAAGUUUGUGAAUGAAAGACAAUAUUUACUAAGCAUUAAGCAUUUUAACCACGUAGACAAUUUUGAAGAUUAUAAGUACAUUUAAACAGUGUAAAAUAUUGUUGGUUGCUGUUGCCUCUUUCCCAUAUACUCAGAUAAGUAAAGGUGCAUAUUUAAAAAGUGAAAAUCGUAAUUUGAUUUGUUUGUGCAAUAUGGAGGCACGUAGAUACGUAAUCUUCAACUUUGUACCGGCAAAAGUGAAAAAAAUCAACACAAAAUAAAAACCAUAUUAAAGGCAGGCGAUUCUCAACAAAUCCUGUACACUUGAAAUUGUCAUUGCAAACUAAAGCAAAACAUUGAAUUUACUCCAGAGUCUAAUGCUGCCGAUUAGAAUAUGAUGAUGCAUCCAUUAAAAAAGUAAAAUUAAGUUAAAAUUAAAUUUGUAGUGAAAUGUAAAGUGAUAGUGAUCAAUAAAACAUUUUUAUAACG
This is a long non-coding RNA of Episyrphus balteatus (marmalade hoverfly), 558 nucleotides long. RefSeq lists it as uncharacterized. The record is from RefSeq and is a predicted model, not a curated record. NCBI's taxonomy places the organism in Eukaryota, Metazoa, Arthropoda, Insecta, Diptera, Syrphidae. The transcript is spliced from 4 exons.